This 460-nucleotide long non-coding RNA is filed under the name Physcomitrium patens. RNAcentral's name for it is "long non-coding RNA (PPAT_LNC014363)". The record is from RNAcentral. Lineage: Eukaryota; Viridiplantae; Streptophyta; Bryopsida; Funariales; Funariaceae.
CCUGCCCCAACCUCCCCUUUGAAAAGGCCACUAUGUAGAGGUAGCAUGCUUACAACCCAUGAUGAUUUUGCGUUGCUUAAAUCUCUCUCACAUGGCAUAUGACUUUUGCCCUCUGAGUGCUGGAUUUCUUACAGUCUCUUCCUUCCCCACCACCACCACCAGGCUGGAUUUCAUGACAUCAGGGGAUGAUUGAAGAGGUCUCUGGAUAAGGCUGAGUGACCCACCUUAGCCAUGUGUGAAAGUCGACUGGCUGUCCAAGAGCAGGUUGACUAAUAGUGAUUACAGUAAGUAAAAUCACAGUGAGUCAGGGAGUCAGUCAGUGAGUAAGUACGGCCAGCUUCAUUUGAUAUGGAGGCUCUUUUCACUGUGCAAGUGAGUGUGGUGAUUGGGUUAAAACAGUGGGAGUAGUGUAUGCAAAUUGACUUGCAGUGGAAGCAAUUCCUCUCAUGUUCUCUCUUUU